This 450-nucleotide ribosomal RNA is filed under the name uncultured bacterium. RNAcentral's name for it is "partial 16S ribosomal RNA". It matches the Rfam family "Bacterial small subunit ribosomal RNA", at positions 354 to 796 of the family's 1533-position model. The record is from RNAcentral.
GUGGGGAAUCUUCCGCAAUGGACGAAAGUCUGACGGAGCAACGCCGCGUGAGUGAAGAAGGUUUUCGGAUCGUAAAGCUCUUUCGUUAGGGACGAACGUGCUCUUUGUGAAUAAUGAGGAGUAAUGACGGUACCUAAAUAAGAAGCCACGGCUAACUACGUGCCAGCAGCCGCGGUAAUACGUAGGUGGCAAGCGUUGUCCGGAAUUAUUGGGCGUAAAGCGCGCGCAGGCGGGAUAUCAAGUCUGUCUUAAAAGUGCGAGGCUCAACCUCGUGAGGGGACAGAAACUGGUAUUCUUGAGUGUCGGAGAGGAAAGUGGAAUUCCAAGUGUAGCGGUGAAAUGCGUAGAGAUUUGGAAGAACACCAGUGGCGAAGGCGGCUUUCUGGACGGUGUCUGACACUGAGGCGCGAAAGCUAGGGGAGCGAACGGGAUUAGAUACCCGGGUAGUCC